Molecule: long non-coding RNA, 273 nt
Filed under: Elaeis guineensis (African oil palm)
Lineage: Eukaryota; Viridiplantae; Streptophyta; Magnoliopsida; Arecales; Arecaceae
Description: long non-coding RNA (EGUI_LNC012891)
Source: RNAcentral
ACUGUCAUCAAAACAAAACCUAGAGACUUAUAUGAUAUGGAAAACCAAGUAGAGGAUGAUGAUGAUGACACUUAUACACAAUGUAUGCCCUACAAUUUUGUGCCAGCUGAUGAUUUAAAUGCUACGACGACGUUGGUUAGAACAAAAUUUGAAGGAAACACUACUGCUUGAUUGUUACUGGUAAUAAUUAUUUAUGAUGUAUAUAUUUUGCAUUAAUUAUUGUGUUAUUUUACUCCAUAUAUUAAUUGAUUCUACCUUUUAUUUAUAUAAAUG